This 677-nucleotide ribosomal RNA is filed under the name uncultured archaeon. Its description in RNAcentral is "bacterial SSU rRNA". It matches the Rfam family "Archaeal small subunit ribosomal RNA", at positions 46 to 725 of the family's 1478-position model. The record is from RNAcentral.
UAGCCAUGCGAGUUAAUGUUCUUCGUGAACAUAGCAGACUGCUCAGUAACACGUGGAUAACCUGCCCUUAGGACUGGCAUAACCCCGGGAAACUGGGGAUAAUUCCGGAUAGAUCAUAAAUGCUGGAAUGCUUUAUGAUUGAAAGGUUUCGACUGCCUUAGGAUGGAUCUGCGGCCUAUCAGGUUGUAGUGGGUGUAAUGUACCUACUAGCCUACGACGGGUACGGGUUGUGGAAGCAAGAGCCCGGAGAUGGAUUCUGAGACAUGAAUCCAGGCCCUACGGGGCGCAGCAGGCGCGAAAACUUUACAAUGCGGGAAACCGUGAUAAGGGAACACUGAGUGCUAGCAUUUAUGUUAGCUGUCCACAUGUGUAAAUAGCAUGUGAUAGCAAGGGCUGGGCAAGACCGGUGCCAGCCGCCGCGGUAACACCGGCAGCCCGAGUGGUGAUCACUAUUAUUGGGUCUAAAGGGUCCGUAGCCGGUUUAAUCAGUCCUCUGGGAAAUCUAAUCGCUUAACUAUUAGGCUUCCAGGGGAUACUGUUAGACUUGGGACCGGGAGAGGUAAGAGGUACUGCAGGGGUAGGAGUGAAAUCUUGUAAUCCCUGUGAGACCACCAGUGGCGAAGGCGUCUUACCAGAACGGGUCCGACGGUGAGGGACGAAAGCUGGGGGCACGAACC